RNAcentral lists this ribosomal RNA (253 nucleotides) under uncultured prokaryote. RNAcentral's name for it is "partial 16S ribosomal RNA". It matches the Rfam family "Bacterial small subunit ribosomal RNA", at positions 525 to 777 of the family's 1533-position model. The record is from RNAcentral.
ACAGAGGUCCCAAGCGUUGUUCGGAUUCACUGGGCGUAAAGGGUGCGUAGGCGGUCGGGUAAGUCUGAUGUGAAAGCUCGGAGCUCAACUCCGGAAAUGCCAUUGAAACUGUAAGACUUGAGGAUGAGAGAGGUGAGUGGAAUUCCCAGUGUAGAGGUGAAAUUCGUAGAUAUUGGGAAGAACACCGGUGGCGAAGGCGGCUCACUGGCUCAUUUCUGACGCUCAGGCGCGACAGCGUGGGGAUCAAACAGGA